AGCUUUGCACAGUGGCAAUAUCAUAGUCAAUGAGGUUUAUCCGAGGCGCGAUUAUUGCUAAUUUAAAACUUUUCCCAAUGCCCCGCCGUGACGACUGGCAAUUUUUGACAGUCUAUACAGAGA
Molecule: small nuclear RNA, 123 nt
Filed under: Peromyscus maniculatus bairdii (prairie deer mouse)
Lineage: Eukaryota; Metazoa; Chordata; Mammalia; Rodentia; Cricetidae
Description: U4 spliceosomal RNA (ENSPEMG00000004163.2)
Rfam family: U4 spliceosomal RNA
About the family: U4 small nuclear RNA (U4 snRNA) is a component of the major U2-dependent spliceosome. The structure of U4 snRNA from yeast and human has been reported.
Source: Rfam by way of RNAcentral